AAUAUUGGACAAUGGGGGCAACCCUGAUCCAGCCAUGCCGCGUGUGUGAAGAAGGUCNNNGGAUUNUCAAGCACUUUAAGUUGNGAGNAAGGGCGCCAGGCUCAUAUCCUGACGUUUUGACGUUACCGACAGAAUAAGCACCGGCUAACUCUGGGCCAGCAGCCGCGGUAAUACAGAGGGUGCAAGCGUUAAUCGGAAUUACUGGGCGUAAAGCGCGCGUAGGUGGUUCAGUAAGAUGGGUGUGAAAUCCCCGGGCUCAACCUGGGAACUGCUUUCAUAACUGCUGAGCUAGAGUACGGUAGAGGGUAGUGGAAUUUCCUGUGUAGCGGUGAAAUGCGUAGAUAUAGGAAGGAACACCAGUGGCGAAGGCGACUACCUGGACUGAUACUGACACUGAGGUGCGAAAGCGUGGGGAGCAAACAG
Molecule: ribosomal RNA, 423 nt
Filed under: uncultured bacterium
Lineage: Bacteria
Description: partial 16S ribosomal RNA
Rfam family: Bacterial small subunit ribosomal RNA
Source: RNAcentral